CCAGCGCCAGCGAUAGUAGCGGAAAUCCUUUCGCAGGAGCGAAAGAUUGGAGCGUAUAGCGCGGUCGGUU
This 70-nucleotide small RNA is filed under the name Leptospira meyeri. Its description in RNAcentral is "Flavo-1 RNA". It matches the Rfam family "Flavo-1 RNA". The record is from RNAcentral. Lineage: Bacteria; Pseudomonadati; Spirochaetota; Leptospiria; Leptospirales; Leptospiraceae.